GUCAAAUUGGCCAUGGUUCAAAACACCUUCCUCAAUGACCAUAUUGGUUUCAACCUUCUUGUCUUUCCUUAACUCUUGGUAAAGAUUGAUAGGAUGUCUAGGUGUAUGACAAGUGCGAGUCCAAUGAUCGCCGCCACAUCUAGUACACAUAUUUUGAAAGUUUCUGUUGCUAGGCCCACCUCGUUCCUUAUUCAUUCGCCCAUCCCGUUUGAAAUGUGGACGAGAAGAGUGGUUGAAUCUCUGAAGGCGACCGUGACCAUAAUCAC
RNAcentral lists this long non-coding RNA (266 nucleotides) under Linum usitatissimum (flax). RNAcentral's name for it is "long non-coding RNA (LUSI_LNC004889)". Lineage: Eukaryota; Viridiplantae; Streptophyta; Magnoliopsida; Malpighiales; Linaceae. The record is from RNAcentral.